ACUCGCCGGGGCAGCCGCUUCCGUAACUGAGCCUUGGAACCCGGUGUCCUCGGCCCCCGAACGGGGCCAUAGAGCGCGUUCUAGGGGGGCCAGAGCGGCCCAGCCGCAGACCAUGGAGUCGGCGGCAGAAAGGCCAGAGCAGCCAUUGAGAGGCCCUGCACAGCGGACAAGGCCGGCACACGGACCCUAGCGAGGAGCCAGGGAAGCUGGUGUCUCGGGAGUUGUAGGCAGUGCCGGGACGAGGGGCGCCGCCGCUGCACCCCCGGCUUGAAGUAGUAACGCCAGGCACUAAAUACAGUCUAUGAUUUCCAUCAUCAGGACACCCACUAUAGAAAUUGUUCCAGCACCCCUGGCUGUAGGAAACUAAACGAGUGAUUGUAAAACUCUGUUAAACUCUUCCUAGACUAGCCAGAGUGCCCAGUUCUUGAAUGACCUUAGAAUGCUGUAGCAUUAGCAAGUCUAUCCAGAUCAAAGAAUGCAUCCUAGAGCAGCCAUAAUUACGCAGUUCAUAGCCAGGACUCUAACAGGGCCAUCAGUUGGUGGGGAAGAGGGAGAGGAUGCUCAACAAUUUGCAGCCAUAGACAUUAUAUUCAAUAUUAAUAUAUUGGGAUUAUAUUUUCCUCGUGGUCAUCUUAAAAUCUAUUGUUUUGCAUCCUCUGAAAUAGAAAGUGUCACAACAGAAGAUGGGGUGUUGGCUAGCAGUUUAUAACACUCAAAAAUCCACGAUUUGUUGUGAAUUUUGCUAAAUGAAAAAAAAAGGAUUAAAAAGUAAAGUUAUGAAUGAACAUAAAUAGCUUGUUGUACAUGUUGGAACACAAUUUUCCUUACAGCUUUCAGUUCAUGUGGAGCAUGGAUAACCAAACCACUACACGGUCAGGACUCCAUGGAGUUUUUUAAAGAUCUUCUAUGCAGAUCUUCAUUCCCUCCGAAGCACCCAGCAUUGGCCAUGAAUUUGCUGCUUAUGUUCUAAUCUACGGAGCAGGAUCACACCAACUGAGCAUGCUCAGUAACAUCUGCUGCCCUCUCUUGGGAUCAGAUUCUGCUGCCUGCUCUUAACAGUUCAUAACAUGAUUUAAUAAUGUGGAGAAGAGAUAAUUAAGACUGUACCUGCAAAAGUAAUUCCUUGUAUGUAUCUUCCUGAAUUCUGAGCCAAGUGGAACAAAGCAUUACAAUCCUACAAGCUGUUAGAAACAACUGACCAGUCGACAAGGGUUCACAUUACAAUGAAUACUUUUAAUUGUACCACUGGUGACAGCCUCAGUGAUGCCAAGGAUUGAAUGGACAGAGAAGAAUGUCAAACGAGAUCCUUCUGCUUCAGGGGAGAGGCACAUUAGAGGGGGAAUCGGGGGAAGCUUGCACAGACACACUUUGUACAUUGGAUAAAAUAAAAAACAAUUAGGCCACUCCUCUGAGCUUUUGUUUGAAAUGUAACUGGAGGCUGGGCUGAUAUUUCAGAUAUGCCGAAGUCAGAUACUGUGGACAACCUAGUGAUUGAUUUGGUAUUGUAUUGUACUAGCACAGCAGCAUCUGUUUGGAGCACUUCUGAUUUCAGAUCUAGUGCCAAUCUCGCUAAAAGUUAGGAACACAAAACAUGUGAUAAGCAGUCUCUGAAGAGGAGGAUCAGCUCUUAACUGUUAAAGGUGAAUUGCAAAAGAAACAAAAAAUGUUUGGUUAGCCUUUAAGUAUAAAGGAGGCCUCAAUUAAACAAAAUUUAAAUUCCUCUACUAAAACAGGAAAACUAGCAUUCAAUAUUUCUAAUACUGAAAAAAAGCAGAAAAUAGCUUUUUGAAAAAACUAACAUUGAGGCUGGCUUGUAAUAAAGAGCACAAUUUGUUUCCUUUGAGGUCCAUCUUCCAUAGCAGCCGGUACCUUCAUGCAUCUGGGAAGCACUGAAAAACAGACAGUGUGACAGACCUUGGGUGUA
Molecule: long non-coding RNA, 1924 nt
Organism: Mauremys mutica (yellowpond turtle)
Lineage: Eukaryota; Metazoa; Chordata; Testudines; Geoemydidae
Exons: 5
Source: RefSeq, a predicted model, not a curated record